UACAGAGGUGGCAAGCGUUGUUCGGAAUUACUGGGCGUAAAGGGCGCGUAGGCGGCCUUCUAAGUCAGACGUGAAAUCCCCCGGCUUAACCUGGGAACUGCGUCUGAUACUGGGAGGCUUGAGUAUGGGAGAGGGAUGUGGAAUUCCGGGUGUAGCGGUGGAAUGCGUAGAGAUCCGGAAGAACACCGGUGGCGAAGGCGGCCUGCUGGGCAGUAGCUGACGCUGAGGCGCGACAGCGUGGGGAGCAAACAGG
RNAcentral lists this ribosomal RNA (253 nucleotides) under uncultured bacterium. RNAcentral describes it as "partial 16S ribosomal RNA". It matches the Rfam family "Bacterial small subunit ribosomal RNA", at positions 524 to 776 of the family's 1533-position model. The record is from RNAcentral.